Molecule: ribosomal RNA, 497 nt
Filed under: uncultured bacterium
Lineage: Bacteria
Description: partial 16S ribosomal RNA
Rfam family: Bacterial small subunit ribosomal RNA
Source: RNAcentral
GAUGAACGCUGGCGGCGUGCCUAAUACAUGCAAGUCGAGCGAACAGACGAGGAGCUUGCUCCUCUGACGUUAGCGGCGGACGGGUGAGUAACACGUGGAUAACCUACCUAUAAGACUGGGAUAACUUCGGGAAACCGGAGCUAAUACCGGAUAAUAUAUUGAACCGCAUGGUUCAAUAGUGAAAGACGGUUUUGCUGUCACUUCUAGAUGGAUCCGCGCCGCAUUAGCUAGUUGGUAAGGUAACGGCUUACCAAGGGGACGAUGCGUAGCCGACCUGCGAGGGGGGUCGGCCACACUGGAGCUGAGACACGGUCCAGACUCCUACGGGAGGCAGCAGUAGGGAAUCUUCCGCAAUGGGCGAAAGCCUGACGGAGCAACGCCGCGUGAGUGAUGAAGGUCUUCGGAUCGUAAAACUCUGUUAUUAGGGAAGAACAAAUGUGUAAGUAACUAUGCACGUCUUGACGGUACCUAAUCAGAAAGCCACGGCUAACUACGUG